This 544-nucleotide long non-coding RNA is filed under the name Numida meleagris (helmeted guineafowl). RNAcentral describes it as "lncRNA (ENSNMEG00000022704.1)". Lineage: Eukaryota; Metazoa; Chordata; Aves; Galliformes; Numididae. The record is from RNAcentral.
UUAAAUUUAAUUAAGUGAAAUGACCCUGCUUUUUAAUUUAUAAAUGGUCUUAUGCACUGACUUAAUCUUAUUUUUACAUGACUUUUUAGGAGAUGUUGCACACACAGAAACAAGAGAGCUCUUGGGAGCACCUAAUCGAAUCGGAAAGGAACGGGAAGCAGUGACAUAACGAAAAGCCAGUGCAGAAUGGAACAAAAAGCAACGGCUUCUACAGACCCACUCCUUCUGUGCUGCCUGUAGAAGGAGGAAUUCCUUCAGAGGCACAGUAUCUUACUGUAAAACUAAGUUUGGUUUGAGGCAUGAUCUCCUGUGGAAGUGUCUUCCUGUCUCUUGGCAAUAAUGAUUAUACAGAAAACAGCAGCUGAGAGUUUGAAGCAGAAGCAACACCUGCUGGCGAAACCAAAGUCUGGGAAUCUGCUGAGCUGUCCUCCUGGAAAAGCAGGUUUGAUCAUUACUGCAGGCCUAGGUAAACUGCUCUAGAAUGAAAAAAUCCUGUCCACCAUCGUGAUUUUGGAAGGUGUCUGUAAGGGCAGGUAACUGAUUC